GAACCGUGCGAACGUUGUUCGGAAUCACUGGGCUUAAAGGGCGCGUAGGCGGGUUCUCAAGUCGGGGGUGAAAUCUUUCAGCUCAACUGGAAAACGGCCCCCGAUACUGAGAGUCUCGAGGGAGGUAGGGGCAUGUGGAACUUCCGGUGGAGCGGUGAAAUGCGUAGAUAUCGGAAGGAACGCCGGUGGCGAAAGCGACGUGCUGGACCUCUUCUGACGCUGAGGCGCGAAAGCCAGGGGAGCAAACGGGAUUAGAUACCCCGGUAGUCCUGGCCCUAAACGAUGGGUACUAGAUUGUGGACCGGACAUGGGUUCACAGUCGAAGCAAAAGUGAUAAGUACCCCGCCUGGGGAGUAUGGUCGCAAGGCUGAA
This 372-nucleotide ribosomal RNA is filed under the name uncultured bacterium. RNAcentral describes it as "bacterial SSU rRNA". It matches the Rfam family "Bacterial small subunit ribosomal RNA", at positions 527 to 898 of the family's 1533-position model. The record is from RNAcentral.